RNAcentral lists this ribosomal RNA (253 nucleotides) under uncultured bacterium. RNAcentral's name for it is "partial 16S ribosomal RNA". It matches the Rfam family "Bacterial small subunit ribosomal RNA", at positions 524 to 776 of the family's 1533-position model. The record is from RNAcentral.
UACGUAGGGGGCUAGCGUUGUCCGGAAUCAUUGGGCGUAAAGAGCGUGUAGGCGGCCCGGUAAGUCCGCUGUGAAAGUCGGGGGCUCAACCCUCGAAUGCCGGUGGAUACUGUCGGGCUAGAGUGCGGAAGAGGCGAGUGGAAUUCCUGGUGUAGCGGUGAAAUGCGCAGAUAUCAGGAGGAACACCGAUUGCGAAGGCAGCUCGCUGGGACGUAACUGACGCUGAGACGCGAAAGCGUGGGGAGCAAACGGG